AUGCACCCUGGCUAGUUGGACAAUGGAGAUCUCCGUUUGGCUGACUGGUUAGCGCGUGUGACUGUCACCCGGGAGUCUGGGGAUUGAAUCCCGAUUGGACCAUUUUUUUUUAUAUCCCCCACAGAUCUCUGAAGAAUUCACAGCAUUGACAGCUUCAGCAACGCUGUGCCACUCGGUGGGUUUUCUCUUAUUUGUUUUGCAAAAGCACUUCCUUUCAUUUCUCCACCUCACCCACAAGUACCUGAAUUUCUGCUUCUGUGAAAUUGUGCUUCCUUGAUCUGCCUUGAUCUACAGUCGCCAUGUCAUUGGCGGAGCGCUGCAACAGCCGGCUUAUGUCUAUGCAUGAGAUCCACAAGGCACUUUGCAUUGACUAUUUAUGGCAGUAAGUGGGCGUGGUGAGAGCGGUAUGUGACUAAAAUGCAGCUGAGAAACAUUCUCGUUAGUCUCCGAUUUAUGAAGCGGAGAUUGCGUGCAGCUGUGCGUACUCCAUGUUUGAUAGAUCACAAACCUGCUUGGCGUAAGUACAUUUUUAUUUUGCUGAGCUCAAGUACGGUUUUAGCAAGAAUUCUAUGCAAUGUUUGAUAAAUGAGACCCCAGAACCUUUUGUUUCAUCGUCACGUCUCACAACGGUGUGUUUAGGUGUGUGUGUGUGUGUGUGUGUGUGUGUGUGUGUAUGUUUUAAGUGCCUAUCAAUUGAUCAUUGUAUGUUUAUAUUUGAACUCGUUUCCACCGUGAUCCUGGUUGACUUUCUUUUCCAUCGGCACAUGCAGCUUUGGUCAGUGAGGCUGAGAGCUUGUUAGAAAGAUGCUUGCUGCCGUGACGAUUACAACCGAGUAUAGUUUGGUUGGAAGUAAACAGUCAGUCAGUGAGAAGCUGGUUUCAGUUCACCUGGAAUUCUGAUCAGAAAAAUCCUCCAAUCUUUAUUUUCUAAUUUAGAAUCAGUGGAAUGUCAUCAGAGAUCUGAUAAAAACGGUUCCCUAUGACCCUAGUGGUCGCUGGGUCAACAUGAGUAAAAAUCUGAUAUUUUUGGUCAAAUUUGACACACCAGCACACUUUUGUUUCUCCUAAUAACAUUUCCACAAAAUUUUGACAAAGUGAGGAAGAAACUCAUGUUUGAAAAAAACAUUUUUUUCUUUUUAAAUUAGAGUAAAAAAAGAAAAGUAAUUAUUUCUUUUGUACUCGGCUCACUCAGCUUGUGGAUGCUGGUGAAACCCGAAGCCCUGUUAGGUUCUCUAGGUGUUCUGGAUUUAACUGUAGCUGUUUGGAUUCAGAACCUCAGAAGUACGCUCUCUGGUUCUCUUUUUGGUCUUCAUCACGUCAUCUUCCUCUGUGUGCUUGUAUGUUUGGGCCAGCUAAUGAAGAAGCAGCUUUUUGUUCCUUGUUGGAGAAAAACAUCAGAUAAAGCAGCUUCACCAUCAGGUUUCUCUGUGUGUCUGUGUGUGUGUGUGUGUUCACGUCUGAUGUGGGAAGUGUGUGUGUUUCCUGUUCUCACCUGCUGAGCGAGCGCCGGUCAGUGAAGCAGGACGUCCGAGUGGAAACAUCCCAUCAUCAGUUUAACCUCUGGAUCCGAGCAGCCAGCAAACAUGCACGUUUUGUUUGGAUGAUGCAGCUUUUGCUGGAAACAUUAUUUAUUUUUUGUGUUUAUGGUCAGAAAAAAACUUCAAGGGAAUAAUUAGCUCACCUUCCGCUUAUUGAAACUUUCAGCGGAUGAAUAAAAUCCUGUAAAAGAGGAACUUGGUCAGCCUUUUCUCUCCAGAUAACUUCAGGUGUAAAUCUGUCGUUUGUACGUUUCUCAUGCUGCGACAUGACUUGUGACCCCGUGGAGCUUUCUGUUGGCUAACCCUGGUACACUCAGCUGUAUGUGACUUCUGAUGUUGCAGUGUUGUGUUCUGUAAUCUGGGAUGGGGAGGGGCUAAUCCAGAGUUGCUACUGUAGGUGCACAGGGUCUAUUUGUUGCAGUUGGGUGGGGUGUUUUUUUUUGUGUGUGUGUGUGUGUGGGGGGGGGGGGUUACCAUAGCUACAGCUCCAUUGAAAGUGAAGUUCUCAGUAUAUUUCCACGUCUAUAAAGCCUCUGCUAAAGACUGAUGACUGUUCACUUAGAGCUCAAUAAAUUUCUAUAAAUAAUUUAGAUUGCUCAAACUGAUUGUGUGCAAUUGUAAUGAUGAAAAUUCAAUAAAAAAGAGGUAUUUUUACACAAUAAGUUCUGUUUCUGUUCUGUCUCGUUACUGUGUGUGUGUGCGUGUGUGUGUGGGGGAUCAAUAGUGUCGAAAACCAAAGCAAUCUGAGUGCAGAAUGCAAAACAAAAACUUAUUUCCACAUUUUAACUGCAGUUUUUCUAAGUCAGAGCCUCGCUGGGCAGGCUGCAAAAUGCAUCUGUGUGCAUAAAUGUAGGAUACAGAGAAGUGCAGACAUGCAGCGCUUUGAUGAGACUGAAAAAACGGGUGGUCCAAUAGUUGCUUUAGCAGCUAGCUGAGGUUUUUAGACAAACGCCAGAGAACCAUUUUAUGGUUUUGUUUUAAAUCUCCACAAUAUAGCAUUAUAAAAAAGGUUUUAAGCUAAUUUGUUUUCCACAUUUAGGAUUGCAGUUUUAUAUCUAACCAGAACCCUUGGGACAGAUGAUGUAACGUUUUUAGUGCAAAUAGUUUCGAUGUAGUCACAAAAUGUCUCGAAUUGUUAGUUUAUUGUUUUUUUAUUUUCCUUUUGGUCCCAACUCCACCCAAAGUUACUUAACAUUUCUCUACUUUCUGACUCUGAAAACAGACAGAAGGAUUCCAGAUCGAUCCCAGCAACAACAUUGGCUUUAAUAAUGCUGCUGAUCAGAAUUGACUGAUAUUUAUUAUGAUUGGCAUAAACAGCGAUAGGUUGAUCUAAAACCCAGGAAUCUAAAUUUUAAUAUCAGUAUAUAAAUCCACUGUCAAGCAGCAAUACAAAAAAUCUGAUGUUUUACUGGUCUGUACAUGCAGCUAACGGAUUUUCCUCAUGAAGAAUCUGAAUUUCUAGCUUCUUUUUUUCUGUUAAUUCUUGUUGGAGAUAAAUUAUGUCAGCCCUCAAACACCAGAAUCAGCGUAUCUCUGUUUCCAUCAACAGUUUUAUUCUCAGAAACAUAACAAGGAGGAAUCCGAGAACCCUCGAUGAGCUUUGGAGUCUUUUUGGAAACUUGCUGUUCAGUUUGUCACCACCGACCUCAGCCCAGUGGGAGGUUGCUAGUUCAUCACCAACUAUAGCUGCAGCCACAAUCCAAGCAUAUUUUCUAUAGGAUUCAGUGUUUCCCAACAGACCAAAAUAGGGAUGUGUAUUGGUGAAAUUCUGGCAAUACGAUAUGCAUCACAAUACGGUGGAGACGAUACAAUGUGCCAUGAUAUAUUGCGAUACAUUCAGCCAGACAAUAGCAGCGAUUUUUUUAGACUGAAUCUAUUGUAGGAAAUUUCAAUAAACUGCCCAAACUGAUACUUAAAAUGUUUAUCGUGAUGUAUCUGAACCAUAAUAAAGAGAUUUACAUUUCAAUAGUGGAAACAAAACCCACUGCACACUGCUGCCAACUAGAAGUCGGCAUUUGAAUUACACCAAAGGAAAUGAAAAUACACAAAUGUUUGCAUGUGAAUUCUUCCCAAAAUUCGAUACACGGCUUUUGAAAAUUGAUAUAAUAUUGCAGGAAACAAUAUCACAAUAUAUUGCCAUAUCGAUAUUUUCUUACAUCCCUAGACCAAAAUAUUUGUCACACACCUGAAAAGCUCCUGUUCUGCUUUUCUGACUAACAGCAGGAAGACCAUUUAAUAACCAUUUUCAUCAGAAUUGAUUUUCACAUCAUGCUUUUAAAUAUAACAAAAUUGAGUGGGUUUUUAUUUUUCUUGCUUUCAAAAUACAUUCAUAAACUUUUUUUUACAUUGGCAGAAAGAGCAAACCUCCAGUUUUAUACUCAAACUGUAAGCUUGUUCAGUUUUAAUGAAACAAUUUACUAUAGCUCAGAAGUUAAACUUUUUUAUUUUUUUCAAAUGCUGCGUUCAUAAACCUAAUAUUUAAAUAAGCAUCUCCUGUUUGUCCUGAAACAUCUGAGAUAAACAGAUGAAAGAGUUGAUGAAGGUGGAAAAGAAGCUGCUGGGGCUCUGAGGACAUUUGUGUUAACAUUGAAAAGGGAAAUGGUGGCCUUCUCCCAGAGCUCAGCCUUCAGGUGUGCCCUAAACGCAGAAAGGUGUUCACAAGGAUGAAGACGAGGAUGAAGAGUCUGCUGGUCAGAUGAACAGAAACGUGUCACAAGCUCACAUGUCUGACUCUCUACAAAACUGGGAGGAAGUUUUCUGAUGGGUGAACUCGACGGCUGAGGCUGUUGGAGGAAGGAAGAUGCUGCUGGAGCCAAAAAUAGGCUACCCGUGUGUGUGUGUGUGUGUGUGUGUGUGUGUGUGUGUGUGUGUGUGUGUGUGUGUGUGUGUGUGUGUGAUAACAGACUGUAGCAGGUGCUGUGAAAUACAAGCAGUUGCAUUUCAUUUACUCUAACCUCUGUUUUGCAUAACAGAUUUUGUUACGUUUUAGUUUGUUAUUUUUUUCAACACAACAUCCUCGGUGAGUUCAGUGGGUUCAAUCCCAGCUCCGAGGCUGCCAUGGAGCUGCUGCAUUAUGUGACUGAGAAGGAGGAAGCCACGAGGGCAAUGGAGGAAUAACAGAGGGCAGAAUUUGAUGAAGAGAUAAGAAGUUAAAAAUGUUUAAACGUUUACCAGAAUUUAAAAGACAGACAUCCUCUGUGGGUUAAGUCUGUAAAUUACUGAGGAAAGAAAUGAAAAAGCAAAGGACGUUUUCUAAGAAAAACCUAGAAGAGACAGAUGGUUCCAAACCAAAGACACAGAAGCAAAGAAUGGAAACUGGAGCGAUGGUUGGGUGUAACAGAUAAUUAUAUAAAAAAGGAAAGACGUAGGAAAAACAGAAUGAAGAGGAAAGAAGGAAUCAAAAAUUAUCAUUAAAAAACAUUUAAAAAAGAAAGUACAAAGAGACAUCAGAAGAAAAAAUAACAAUCAGGAAGAUCAAAAGGUUAAAAAUCGAUUAAGAUGAAUGAAACAAAAAAAUUAAAAGUUAAAUAUAGAACAGAGUCUAAAAUGUUAAAAUAUUUACCAGGAAAUGAUCAGCACAGAGGUGGUAUAAAGUAGCUGAUUAAAAUGGAUGAAAUACAGUCUCACCAGAGUAAUUUUAGACAGUGAAAUUAUGACAUUGAUAUUUUUUUCUGUGAAAUUUUGUUUGGAUUUUUCCAGCUUAAAAUAAAUUGUUCAGUUUUAAUAAAACAAUUUACUAUAGCUCAGAAGUCCCAAGUCUAAAGCCCUUUUUACAAGACACGCCAUGCCGGCAAAUCAGCGUAAUACUAUCACAACAGUGUGUCUUAUAGAUGUGCCAUGUCGUUAUGGCGAUGCAUGAGUUUUGUGGAAUUUGUUUCGCUUCACUUGGUAGUAGUAUUGCAGUAAUGGUCUGUCUUAUAAAUGGCGAUUGCGCCAUGGUGCAACAGAGGGUGGUGUCAUGAUCACAUGGGGAGUUUCUGCUGGGCUGCCAACAGCAACUAUAUUGAAAAUGCAAGUAAGCACUGGCUGUAAGUUUCACUUUUGUUAACAAGCAGCUGAGAUGAUACACCGAAGCAAUGCAGCGCUCCUGGAGCUUCCCUCCGUUAGAGCUGGAGGUCAGAUCACCAGAGACUGCAUGGGAACUGUGGAGUACGGAUACCUUUAGGAGCGGCUUGUCAAAAAACAUCAAUCAAUCAAUCAAUCAAUCAAUCAAUCAAUCACAUUUUAUUUGUAUAGCGCCUUCCACUGCCUUUACAGAUGCCCAAGAUGCUGAACACAACAUAAAAACAGUAAAAGAACAAAAAGACAGAUUAAAUACCACAUAAAAAAGACUAAAAUGAUAAGACAUACAUGAUAAAAGACUUCAAUUCUAAAAGUCCAUAUUAUAUAAAAGCUAAAUGAUAAAAAUGAGUCUUCAAUCGACUCUUGAAGCCCUGCAGUGAUGGGGACUGUUUGAUAACAAGUGGGAGCUCAUUGCAUAGUGUUGGAGCAAGGACCGAAAAGACCCUAUCACCUCUUGUUUUGAACCUUGUAUGUGGGGCGAUGAGCAAAUCCUGAUCAGCCAAGCGAAGGGAGCGUGUAGGAGCAUGCAUCUGUAACAACCCAGCCAGAUAUAGGGCACCACUGAGAUGAGCCUGGAAGACAAACAACAGAACUUUAAACUUUGCCUGGUAAGCCACAGGUAGCCAGUGUAGGGAAGCCAGGACAGGAGUAACAUGUGUUAUCUUUUUCGAGCCUGUCAGGAAUCUAGCUGCCGAGUUCUGCACUAACUGCAAUCGUUUCAUUGCUGCCUGACUCAGCCCAACAUAUAAUGCAUUACAGUAAUCAAGCCGUUAUUAAACAAAAGCAUGCAAGACAGACUCAAGUUGCGUCCUAGACAACAUCGGUUUGAUCUUGGCCAGACGGCGCAAGUGAAAAAGCAGGUUCUAUCCUGGUUUAUGUGGCUGUCAAAUUUAAGUUCGCUGUCAAUUACAACCCCGAGGCUUCUGACAGUAGGGUGUCAAAGCAUUCAAAUCAGGAGCAGAGCUCACACACCUCUUGCUAGAAGGGAGGAUUGUAAUAAGCUCGGUCUUGCUCUCAUUAACAUGAGGAAAGUUUGCUGCUGGCCGCAACUCCACCUCAUCCAGACACAACGAUCACGGCUUCAAUCGCAAUAAAAAGCAAGUUAUAUCCAAGAUAAACGGAAGUCAGCGGCAGAGCAGGGACCGCCCCCAUACCCUCUUUAUACCACCAUCGCCUAAUCUUUUAUAAAAAGGACACGAUUACGCCACAUUACCACCACGGUCUGACCACUUAUAUACGGCCCUAGGCUUGCCAAGGCGUUGUGGCAAAUUAAUGGCCUUGUUGUGUACAAACGGCUAAAGUCAUCGUCACUCAAUGGAGUCAAGUGGCUUUAAGCCAAUCAAACUACGCUUCUGUGGUCACGUGACACCAGCGGAGUGUCGAUUCAUUCGAUUGAUGGCUUUGGCUUGGGUCACCAGGAGGUCACCUCAUUUGUUGUUGCAGAACUUUCACUGUUGAAGUUUUAAGAUGAAAUUGUUGCUGGUAUAUUUUAAUUCAAAACAUUUCAAACUCAUAAUUCCACAGACAAAAGAUUCUUUGUCAUAAAUUCAGCAUUAUAUUCUGUUGAGAUUUCAGUUCUUCACAGAUAAAUGACUCAACAGUAUACCAUAAAUCCUCUAAUACAGGUCCAGGCCUGUAUUUUACUCAAGCUCAUCAAGCUCCAGGCCUUUAUUGGAAGGAGGGCCAGAAUUAGAGGCAGGCCUCAAUUUCUAUUUGAGCAAAACGAACUACCAGUAGAAUGAAUAAAAACGGGGUGUGUCUGUUUAAACCUAUAAAAUACUAGUUUCAGUUAUUGAAAAUGUACAGUUACCGUAACGUGGUACGGUUUGCAUAUAAAACAUUAACAACAAGGCUAAAUUACAAUAGUGAAAAACUGUAUUGUAACAAAACAAUAGCAAAUAUACCUGUGCUGCAUUUUAAACGUUAUUAAAUACCGGUAUUAGAAAAGGCAACAGCCACCAUACCGCUUCAAAGUUGAAUCGUUUCGUCUCGUUUGGGUUGUAGUAAAAAAUAAAAUAAAACCCCUCAAAUUCAAUUCAAUCUUUGUCCAGUUUAAAGUAAAAAAAUAAAAUACCGGUAAUCCAUUUCAGUUUAAUCCUCAUCCAGUUUGUUGGGUCGAUGUUAAAACGUUUAGCAGCUUGCUCCACAGAGUGUUCUGCAGCAUAAUCAGCACGUUCUCUUUGAACUUGAUAUCAAAUUUUCGCCUCCUCUUCGGCUCCGCACCUGCCAUGGUUAAAGUUACCCUCGCGGUCUAUCACUGGCAAAUCAAAAGUGAGACGGAUGACACAGCCGCCCCCCUGUGGUACUUGCCUGUUACCACAUUCCACCCGGCCACAAUAAAAAAAAACGGCCAUUAUUCACCUCCGCCGACUCCGACACCGGCCAAAAUGUGAUACCCGGCCGUUAAUUGAAUGCAGGCCUGUAUUAGAGGAUUUACGGUACUCUGAAAUUAUUCUGAUAAACACAUCCAAACUAGAGUUGCAAUGAUACCACUUUUUUCCAAACCGAUACGAUACCGAUACUUGGAUCUGAGUACUCGCCGAUAUGGAUACGGAUACUUCUACCACACAAAAAAUGCAAGGAAUUGGAAUACAGGUUUUAUUUUUUUCUCUGUUUUCAACAGAAAAAGAAUCAGCAGGUAGAUACAAAAUAAAAAAUAUUAUUAGAAAUGAUCACAAAACAAACAUUUUCAGUAAACAGAAAUGACAAGUUACAGUGAAGCCACUUUCAGGCAACUGCAUUGGUAUUGGUUCCUGGUAUCAAUUAACUUUUUACCCAUCUCUAAUCCAAACAUAAUUAUGAACAAAGUAACUCCAAAUUGAAAAUGACUAUUGAAUAAAUCUAAAUUUUAUUUUGUCAUUUUGAAUCUCAGAUAUAUACUUCAUGGAGAAUUUUUUAUUCACGUAACAAAAAGGUGAAUAAUUUAGUUUGAAGUUAAAAUUUCAAUACUUUGGUAAAAGAAAUUAGCUACUAAAAAGGCAAAAAUAGAUGAGAGAAGUUUGUUUCGUGUCACCUGUAAAACUGGUCAAAUUAAAUUAAAUUCAUAAAAAAUUGAUUACAUUUUAGUUAAUUAAUUAAAUAAAUAUUUUUGUCUCGUAUUACAAUUAAAUGGCAGACACUGUUGCAAAAUAAAUGAUUUUCCAGAUGACAAAAUAUCAGGUCUGAAAUUCAGCUGGAGGCUGCAGUUGGUACUUUGGCCUCUCAGGUUGCAGGUUUCAGUCCCAGCUGCAGCUUUCCUGCAGACCAAAAACAAUCAUUUUAUGUUAACGAGAGACACUAAAUUGUGUGUAAACUAUGUGAACGGCUGCUUGUCUCUGUACAGAUGGACCUGUAAACUGUCCAGGGUGACCCUUGCCCCUUGGCUGAUGACCACAGGAGUUAGACACAAGCUCCCCACGACCUACGUGAGGAAAACGUGAUUCAGACGAAGAGCCACCAGCUGCAGCUGAUCUCAUCACCAAGGCCCAGGAGAUUUAAGGAGCAGUGUGACACUUCACAACGCCGGACGAUUGCUCAGUUUUGGGUUUUCACUCCACACUCCACUAUCUCCAUACCAGCUCGGAUUCCUGUACUUCAGAUCACGCUGUCUCCUCCCCUGGCCGCCCACUCUCAGCCGCUCACCUGCACCCAUCAAGCCUCUGCUCCUACCUCCUCUCUGAUUCAACAGUUCCUCCUUCUUCUGGAGCCUUCCUGCUCACCCGGACCUGACCUAGCCCUUCCAGAGGCUCUCGCCACUAUCUACUUCAAAUCCUCUCCUGGAGUCUUGCUGCCAGCCUGCACGUCGUCUGUUCCCGUUCCUCUCAUUUAAUAAUAAAGAACGUUUUUAUUUA
Molecule: non-coding RNA, 9430 nt
Organism: Nothobranchius furzeri (turquoise killifish)
Lineage: Eukaryota; Metazoa; Chordata; Actinopteri; Cyprinodontiformes; Nothobranchiidae
Source: RefSeq, a predicted model, not a curated record